RNAcentral lists this ribosomal RNA (493 nucleotides) under uncultured bacterium. Its description in RNAcentral is "bacterial SSU rRNA". It matches the Rfam family "Bacterial small subunit ribosomal RNA", at positions 28 to 507 of the family's 1533-position model. The record is from RNAcentral.
GAUGAACGCUAGCUACAGGCUUAACACAUGCAAGUCGAGGGGAAACGAUAGAGAAAGCUUGCUUUUUCUAGGCGUCGACCGGCGCACGGGUGAGUAACGCGUAUCCAAACCUGCCCAUCACUUGGGGAUAACCUUGCGAAAGUAAGACUAAUACCCAAUGACGUCUCUAGAAGACAUCUGAAGGAGAUUAAAGAUUUAUCGGUGUACGAUGGGGAUGCGUUCCAUUAGGUAGUAGGCGGGGUAACGGCCCACCUAGCCAACGAUGGAUAGGGGUUCUGAGAGGAAGGUCCCCCACAUUGGAACUGAGACACGGUCCAAACUCCUACGGGAGGCAGCAGUGAGGAAUAUUGGUCAAUGGACGAGAGUCUGAACCAGCCAAGUAGCGUGAAGGAUGAAGGUCCUACGGAUUGUAAACUUCUUUUAUAAGGGAAUAAACCCUCCCACGUGUGGGAGCUUGUAUGUACCUUAUGAAUAAGCAUCGGCUAACUCCGUG